Molecule: ribosomal RNA, 492 nt
Filed under: uncultured bacterium
Lineage: Bacteria
Description: partial 16S ribosomal RNA
Rfam family: Bacterial small subunit ribosomal RNA
Source: RNAcentral
AGUGAACGCUGGCGGUAGGCCUAACACAUGCAAGUCGAACGGCAGCACAGUAAGAGCUUGCUCUUACGGGUGGCGAGUGGCGGACGGGUGAGGAAUACAUCGGAAUCUACUUUUUCGUGGGGGAUAACGUAGGGAAACUUACGCUAAUACCGCAUACGACCUACGGGUGAAAGCAGGGGAUCUUCGGACCUUGCGCGAUUGAAUGAGCCGAUGUCGGAUUAGCUAGUUGGCGGGGUAAAGGCCCACCAAGGCGACGAUCAGUAGCUGGUCUGAGAGGAUGAUCAGCCACACUGGAACUGAGACACGGUCCAGACUCCUACGGGAGGCAGCAGUGGGGAAUAUUGGACAAUGGGCGCAAGCCUGAUCCAGCCAUACCGCGUGGGUGAAGAAGGCCUUCGGGUUGUAAAGCCCUUUUGUUGGGAAAGAAAAGCAGCAGGUUAAUACCCCGCUGUUCUGACGGUACCCAAGGAAUAAGCACCGGCUAACUUCGUG